Molecule: ribosomal RNA, 397 nt
Filed under: uncultured bacterium
Lineage: Bacteria
Description: partial 16S ribosomal RNA
Rfam family: Bacterial small subunit ribosomal RNA
Source: RNAcentral
AUACGUAGGUGACAAGCGUUAUCCGGAUUUACUGGGUGUAAAGGGCGUGUAGGCGGUUUAGCAAGUCAGAAGUGAAAUUCCCGGGCUUAACUUGGGCGCUGCUUCUGAAACUGCUUUACUUGAGUGCUGGAGAGGAUAGUGGAAUUCCUAGUGUAGCGGUAAAAUGCGCAGAUAUUAGGAGGAACACCGGUGGCGAAGGCGGCUAUCUGGACAGUAACUGACGCUGAGGCGCGAAAGCACGGGGAGCAAACAGGAUUAGAUACCCUGGUAGUCCGUGCUGUAAACGAUGAAUACUAGGUGUAGGGGGUAUCGACUCCCUCUGUGCCGCAGUUAACACAUUAAGUAUUCCACCUGGGGAGUACGGCCGCAAGGUUGAAACUCAAAGGAAUUGACGGGG